This 380-nucleotide ribosomal RNA is filed under the name Halomonas sp. Apg1066. RNAcentral's name for it is "bacterial SSU rRNA". It matches the Rfam family "Bacterial small subunit ribosomal RNA", at positions 141 to 518 of the family's 1533-position model. Lineage: Bacteria; Pseudomonadati; Pseudomonadota; Gammaproteobacteria; Oceanospirillales; Halomonadaceae. The record is from RNAcentral.
GGGAACCUGGGGAACCCAGGCUAAUACCGCAUACGUCCUACGGGAGAAAGCAGGGGACCUUCGGGCCUUGCGCUAUCGGAUGAGCCUAUGUCGGAUUAGCUGGUUGGUGAGGUAACGGCUCACCAAGGCGACGAUCCGUAGCUGGUCUGAGAGGAUGAUCAGCCACACUGGGACUGAGACACGGCCCAGACUCCUACGGGAGGCAGCAGUGGGGAAUAUUGGACAAUGGGCGCAAGCCUGAUCCAGCCAUGCCGCGUGUGUGAAGAAGGCCUUCGGGUUGUAAAGCACUUUCAGCGGGGAAGAACGCCUGGCGGCCAAUACCCGCCAGGAGGGACAUCACCCGCAGAAGAAGCACCGGCUAACUCCGUGCCAGCAGCCGG